Non-coding RNA from Ornithorhynchus anatinus (platypus), 439 nucleotides. The record is from the annotation of a RefSeq genome assembly. NCBI's taxonomy places the organism in Eukaryota, Metazoa, Chordata, Mammalia, Monotremata, Ornithorhynchidae.
GAGCUCAAAUACAGACCUGUCCAGCCCUGAUAGCACCAUGGGCCCGGGCCCAGUGUGGUUGAUGGCUGUUUGUAUCCUGGGAGCAGGCCCCUCGGAAGCGGAAGUCAUCCAGACCCCCAGACAUCUGGUCACCGGCAGGGGACAGAACGUGUCGCUGAGUUGUGAGCAUGACCGGAGUCACAAUACCAUGUACUGGUACUGGCAACAGGCAGGCCAGGAGCUGCAGUUUCUGAUUUACUUCCAGAACGGGGCUGAAAUGGACAAUUCAGGAAUGACCAUCAAACGCUUCUCAGUUGAGGUCCGGGACUCAUCUUCAAAGCUGUCAAUCCAGCGCACUGAACCUGGAGACUCGGCUUGGUAUUUUUGUGCGAGCAGUUUCUCCACAGCGCUGGGGUCCCGGCCCUGCCCCAUACACAAACCUCCCGCCUGUGCUAAGUGA